This 831-nucleotide long non-coding RNA is filed under the name Vigna radiata. Its description in RNAcentral is "long non-coding RNA (VRAD_LNC016739)". The record is from RNAcentral. Lineage: Eukaryota; Viridiplantae; Streptophyta; Magnoliopsida; Fabales; Fabaceae.
CCAAACCCAAAUUUUCCAUAAACAGGGAAAUGAAAUGCAAAACCCUACAAUACCCUAUAUACAACAACAUAGUCAGCAAAGGCAAACCCAAUUUGGAAUUACGAUACUUACAAGUGCCAGCCAACAAUGGUGUUUCGCUAGACAACCGGCCACAGGAAGUCACGACCUCCCCACCUACUGACCGAACACCCCACAAACGAACGACGCACUGAUGAAGGCUCUGGACACUCUUUUACUUACAAUACCUACAAGUCACAACCCAAAUCAUUUACUCCACCGAACACAUUAACGAUUUGCGGAAAAAAAAUAAAACUUACCAAUGGCUGCGAACGACGACAGAAUGGAUGACCAUCCACACCAGCCGGAGGGACUCCGAUAGCUCACAUGCACCGAACGAAGAAGCACUAAACGACCAGCCACAACAGCCUUUCUGAAGGAAGAGAUUUGCACAAUANGGUUGCAGAGAAUAAGGGUUCUAAGGGUUUCUAAAAAAUUCUAAGGUAUGGGUUCUGUAACUCGAAGAGGGGAAAAUCACCCUAUUUAAUUUCCUGACCCCUUUACCGGCGACGNAAAUCCUUCGGUAAUGACCGCCAAACAUAUCAUUGCAUUUACCGACGGCGUUAAUCCUUCGAUAAUGUUACACCCAACAUUCCGCCGGAAGAUCCUUCGAUAAAACAAUAUUACCGGCGGAANAUAUUCCUUCGGUAAAUUUCCGCCGGAAAUCUCCCCCUUUCUUGUAGUGGUAAGACACACGAAUCGAUGUAACACUCUUAUUAGUGAAGAUAGUGCACCCAACUAGAUGCAACAUAUAUGCUCUGGUAGCGUACUCCC